Molecule: ribosomal RNA, 372 nt
Filed under: uncultured organism
Description: partial 16S ribosomal RNA
Rfam family: Bacterial small subunit ribosomal RNA
Source: RNAcentral
AGAGGGUGCAAACGUUGCUCGGAUUUACUGGGCGUAAAGCGCGUGUAGGCGGACUCGCAAGUCGGUUGUGAAAUCCCUGGGCUCAACCUAGGAACUGCAUCCGAAACUGCUUGUCUUGAGUAAUGGAGAGGGUGGCGGAAUUCCCGGUGUAGAGGUGAAAUUCGUAGAUAUCGGGAGGAACAUCAGUGGCGAAGGCGGCCACCUGGACAUUUACUGACGCUGAGACGCGAAAGCGUGGGGAGCAAACAGGGAUUAGAUACCCUGGUAGUCCACGCCGUAAGCGAUGAGAACUAGGUGCAGCGGAUAUUGACCUCUGCUGUGCCGUAGCUAACGCGUUAAGUUCUCCGCCUGGGGAGUACGGCCGCAAGGCUA